This 260-nucleotide long non-coding RNA is filed under the name Sorghum bicolor (sorghum). RNAcentral's name for it is "long non-coding RNA (SBIC_LNC004842)". The record is from RNAcentral. Lineage: Eukaryota; Viridiplantae; Streptophyta; Magnoliopsida; Poales; Poaceae.
CACUAUACACCUCCACUCUAUAUCUCUCAAUCUAGUAGAAACUAGAAGAUCUAUUUCUACCUUACAUUGAUUGCUAAGCCUAAAAAGAAAUAUUAAUUAGAGAAGAGGUUUUCCUUCGAGGGCACCCCUCAGUCUCUAUGAUAAUUUCUUCAUGUCUUCCAGGGGCCAGGGGGGGCUCGCUUAUAUAGUCCUCCCCUUCUAUGCGUUUUUGGGUCGAUAGCCGAGGUGGUACUAUGUUUUUCUUGAUCCAAUAGGUCGGU